AUUGAACGCUGGCGGCAAGCUUAACACAUGCAAGUCGAGCGGGGUGAUGGUGCUUGCACUAUCACUUAGCGACGGACGGGUGAGUAAUGCUUAGGAAUCUGCCUAUUAGUGGGGGACAACAUCUCGAAAGGGAUGCUAAUACCGCAUACGUCCUACGGGAGAAAGCAGGGGAUCACUUGUGACCUUGCGCUAAUAGAUGAGCCUAAGUCGGAUUAGCUAGUUGGUGGGGUAAAGGCCUACCAAGGCGACGAUCUGUAGCGGGUCUGAGAGGAUGAUCCGCCACACUGGGACUGAGGCACGGCCCAGACUCCUACGGGAGGCAGCAGUGGGGAAUAUUGGACAAUGGGGGGAACCCUGAUCCAGCCAUGCCGCGUGUGUGAAGAAGGCCUUAUGGUUGUAAAGCACUUUAAGCGAGGAGGAGGCUCUUUUGGUUAAUACCCAAGAUGAGUGGACGUUACUCGCAGAAUAAGCACCGGCUAACUCUGUGCCAGCCGCCGCGGUAA
Molecule: ribosomal RNA, 503 nt
Filed under: uncultured bacterium
Lineage: Bacteria
Description: partial 16S ribosomal RNA
Rfam family: Bacterial small subunit ribosomal RNA
Source: RNAcentral